This is a long non-coding RNA of Gymnodraco acuticeps, 1217 nucleotides long. RefSeq lists it as uncharacterized. Lineage: Eukaryota; Metazoa; Chordata; Actinopteri; Perciformes; Bathydraconidae. The record is from RefSeq and is a predicted model, not a curated record. The transcript has 2 exons.
UCACAGUUUAACACAGCUGAAAACUUCUCCACGCUGCUUUCAAACUCUGAGUAAACAACGUACGCUUCACUUGGAGGCUGUCUGAAGGUGUACACAUGUCUCAGAUGGACUUGGUAUCACAUUAGGAACGAUAUUCAGUGAUAAGUCGGGCAACAAUAGCUGGUUUUAAGGUUUUAUUCGAGCGGAUCACAAUUUACCACAGCUGAAGACUUCUCCACGCUGCUUUCAAACUUCCUCGCUGUUCGCGUCCGGAUAUCGCCAUCGUAAGCACAACCUCACACACUGGUACUGAAUGUGUAUCAAAUUGUUCCUAUCCAGCCAAAUAUACCAAAAGAUUUAUGUAAAAGGCAGAAGAAGCGAUCGAAAUGUGUAUUUCAGUCGAAGGCCACGCCUCCACAUCUGUCAACCAGUUGAUCGGGGAACCAGUUAAUCCGGAACACCGGCUACCCCAAUAAACAAACGUUACUAACCGCUUAACAACAAUGCCCUCCUUGUUAUGCUGUGUUUUAAAUACAACUGUAUAGGGGAGGGGAGAGUUGGUCUCACGUUGGAACAAUGUAAAUUCAAUGUAGGGAAUUUCAACCUUGAAAAACCGGCAUCUAUAUUUCAUUGAUUCAACAACAUUUUUUCAAACGUUGAAAUGGUAUCUGUAAUAACACAUCGAAUCAACAUUGAUUUUUCAACCUCAACCAAAAAUAACUAAUUUAACCAAAAUCCAAUGUUGAAUUAAUGUAUUUUGCUAUCUGGGUGUUAUGAUCAAUUGUGAGUUAAAUCUUUAUCUAAAAAGUAAAGUUGAUGAUGGAUUACUGUGGUGGUGUUAAAAUAACAAUAGCCUAUUUCUCUUUUAAAUGUGAUGGAGUAAAAGGAUAGUAACUGUAUUCAUGUUAAGUACCCCACAAGUAACUAAAAUGUAUAGGCUAGUAGCCUACUUGAAGGAAAGGUGUAAAAUGUUCCAUAAAUACCAAUAUCACUCACUACAUCACAGACUAUAACACCCCUUGUUGUUAAAUACCAACCAUGUGCAAUAUAUUUUUAAUUACAUUUUCGUAGAGCUUUGACUUUUUCAGCUGAAUACAUAUUAUAACUAGAUGGUUUUGUUCAGCAUUGCCAGCUUCACUGUUAAAAUGUAUGUUGUGCCCGGCAUUCUCCUGUCCUGUGCUCUGAAAUCAAAAUGUGGAUAAGCAUAAAACAACACUAAAAUAAACACUACAAUACAA